CUUCCUGUUGCCGCCAAGGACUACCCUGCCUAUUUGUCUGGAUCAUAAGGAUGCUGACUACAGACUGAACAGGACAUGAAGCUUCCUGGCUGGACUUGGACUGAGGAUACCUGUGCUAUGUGCUUUCACCUUUUCACCCUGUUCCCCUUCCGAAAAAGUGGUUUCUUGGCUGCUACCCUUCCACAAAGACCAUUCUUGAUCAAGCUUCUUCUGGCUGUAGAAGAGUCAACUUAGCAUCCCGAUAAAGCUGCCAGAUGCUGAG
Long non-coding RNA from Bombina bombina (fire-bellied toad), 262 nucleotides. RefSeq lists it as uncharacterized. NCBI's taxonomy places the organism in Eukaryota, Metazoa, Chordata, Amphibia, Anura, Bombinatoridae. The transcript is spliced from 3 exons. The record is from RefSeq and is a predicted model, not a curated record.